Molecule: ribosomal RNA, 466 nt
Filed under: Lactococcus cremoris
Lineage: Bacteria; Bacillati; Bacillota; Bacilli; Lactobacillales; Streptococcaceae
Description: bacterial SSU rRNA
Rfam family: Bacterial small subunit ribosomal RNA
Source: RNAcentral
CCUACGGGCGGGCAGCAGUAGGGAAUCUUCCACAAUGGGCGAAAGCCUGAUGGAGCAACGCCGCGUGGGUGAAGAAGGUCUUCGGAUCGUAAAACCCUGUUGUUAGAGAAGAAAGUGCGUGAGAGUAACUGUUCACGUUUCGACGGUAUCUAACCAGAAAGCCACGGCUAACUACGUGCCAGCAGCCGCGGUAAUACGUAGGUGGCAAGCGUUGUCCGGAUUUAUUGGGCGUAAAGCGAGUGCAGGCGGUUCAAUAAGUCUGAUGUGAAAGCCUUCGGCUCAACCGGAGAAUUGCAUCAGAAACUGUUGAACUUGAGUGCAGAAGAGGAGAGUGGAACUCCAUGUGUAGCGGUGGAAUGCGUAGAUAUAUGGAAGAACACCAGUGGCGAAGGCGGCUCUCUGGACUGCAACUGACGCUGAGGCUCGAAAGCAUGGGUAGCGAACAGGAUUAGAUACCCUAGUAGUC